AACGAACGCUGGCGGCGUGGAUAAGACAUGCAAGUCGAGCGAGAUUUUUUCUUGUAGCAAUACGAGGAAAAGUCUAGCGGCGAACGGGUGCUUAACACGUGGGCAACCUGCCAAGAAGUGGGGGAUAGCUCGCCGAAAGGCGAAUUAAUACCGCAUGUGAUCAGAGUGGACAUCCAUUCAAAAUUAAAGUCGGGGCAACCUUACGCUUCUUGAGGGGCCCGCGGCCUAUCAGCUAGUUGGUGAGGUAACGGCCCACCAAGGCUUUGACGGGUAGCUGGUCUGAGAGGACGACCAGCCACACUGGGACUGAGACACGGCCCAGACACCUACGGGUGGCAGCAGUCGAGAAUUUUUCUCAAUGGGGGAAACCCUGAAGAAGCGACGCCGCGUGGAGGAUGAAGGUCUUCGGAUUGUAAACUCCUGUCAUUGGGGAACAAUGCGUAAGUAUUAACUGUAUUUGCGUUGAUAGUACCCGAAGAGGAAGAGACGGCUAACUCUGUGCCAGCCGCCGCAGUAA
Molecule: ribosomal RNA, 517 nt
Filed under: uncultured bacterium
Lineage: Bacteria
Description: partial 16S ribosomal RNA
Rfam family: Bacterial small subunit ribosomal RNA
Source: RNAcentral